UAAUCAUCUUGGGGGUGCCAUCUGUUCCGGCCUGCAUUGAUACAAGCCGGAAGGAGGCUGAGAUCAAACCCUUGUAACUUGAUGCAGGUAAUACUGACGCAAGAAAAGAUGGAGCUGCUUUU
This 122-nucleotide non-coding RNA is filed under the name Chlorobium limicola. RNAcentral describes it as "TPP sequence". It matches the Rfam family "TPP riboswitch aptamer (THI element)". Rfam says of the family: Vitamin B(1) in its active form thiamin pyrophosphate (TPP) is an essential coenzyme that is synthesised by coupling of pyrimidine and thiazole moieties in bacteria. The previously detected thiamin-regulatory element, thi box was extended, resulting in a new, highly conserved RNA secondary structure, the THI element, which is widely distributed in eubacteria and also occurs in some archaea. Analysis of operon structures identified a large number of new candidate thiamin-regulated genes, mostly transporters, in various prokaryotic organisms. The record is from RNAcentral. Lineage: Bacteria; Pseudomonadati; Chlorobiota; Chlorobiia; Chlorobiales; Chlorobiaceae.